GUGUCAACUGUGCUGGCAUUCAUCAGCCCUCUGCUUCCAAUCUUUCCACCUUGGUUUGCAACAAUUCCAGCUACUGUGCAACUGGUGCUAGAAAGUAGAUACAUACUGGCAAUUAGCUUGUCUAUUAUUCACAUUGUGCUUAUGGAUUAUGGUACAUCUGAAAUUCAGGAGGAUAUACCUGGUUACAGUGAAUAUCUUACUGGGCUCAGCAUUAUUGGUGGAAUGACGUUGUUCCCAUCUCCAGUGGAGGGAGCAAUAAUGGGGCCAUUGAUAACUACUGUUGUGAUUGGUCUUAAGGAUUUAUAUGCUGAAUUUGUUCUGGAAGACGCAAAGAAAAAUGAUUAGCAGAACGAAAAGUCUGAAACACUGCCAGUUCCAACUUCGAAUUCUUUUGUUUGCUACCUGUGAACUGAUGUAUAUUAGUUUGAGCCACUUUAAGCAGAAGCACAUAACUCGGCCAAUAUUUUUCUUCUCUUCUCACGCAGUUUGCUCAUUCAAUUGUAGUUUGGGUUUCUUUGUAGCAUAGAUGCCUACUUUGUAUUUUUC
Molecule: unclassified non-coding RNA, 546 nt
Filed under: Hevea brasiliensis (rubber tree)
Lineage: Eukaryota; Viridiplantae; Streptophyta; Magnoliopsida; Malpighiales; Euphorbiaceae
Source: RNAcentral